This 207-nucleotide ribosomal RNA is filed under the name uncultured Leclercia sp. RNAcentral's name for it is "partial 16S ribosomal RNA". It matches the Rfam family "Bacterial small subunit ribosomal RNA", at positions 505 to 710 of the family's 1533-position model. The record is from RNAcentral. Lineage: Bacteria; Pseudomonadati; Pseudomonadota; Gammaproteobacteria; Enterobacterales; Enterobacteriaceae.
GUGCCAGCCGCCGCGGUAAUACGGAGGGUGCAAGCGUUAAUCGGAAUUACUGGGCGUAAAGCGCACGCAGGCGGUCUUGUCAAGUCGGAUGUGAAAUCCCCGGGCUCAACCUGGGAACUGCAUUCGAAACUGGCAGGCUAGAGUCUUGUAGAGGGGGGUAGAAUUCCAGGUGUAGCGGUGAAAUGCGUAGAGAUCUGGAGGAAUACC